GCCUGUCUAUGAUUUAUGCUAGUGUGCACGCGGUCCUGAUGCAACCCAUUAGGUGGCAUGUUCUAAUACGGUUUCAUCCCAAGUCAUAUAAUACAAUCAUAACUUUAAUAAUGUGAAAAAUGACAUAAAUCACAAGCAAUCUUAAUAUUAUUCAAUAAUUCAUUAAGUAUUAGAAUUAAAUAGCAUCGGGUAUAGUGCACAUAAAGAUUAAAUGCAGUACUAUCAAUAACAUAACAAUGAUAAAUAUGAUGGUAAAAAUAAAAUAAAUAAAUAAAUAAAAUAUCUAUAAUAACAUAAAUAAAAUUAAUAAUAAUAGUAAUGCCAAUAAUAAUCAUAAUGAUUAUUAAUAAAAAUAUUGCACUUAAAUUCGACAUAACACAUGUGCAGUGAUUAUAUGACUUUAACUCAUAAAUAUGACGUCUUUCUAUACGCUGCUCACGCGUCCAAUGUAACUAGCUGAUGGGACGGAGAAUCUAAAAUCCACAAAUAAUAAUUAAUAUUUAUAUCCAUACUAUAUAAAAUAAUCAACCUAAUUCUAGACUUCUAAGAAAUUACAAAUUGGUCCUAUGGAAAUUUCGCUUACCAGCAAACUAAUGAUAGCAAAAUUUUAUUCGCAAUUAUGACUCAGGACCUCCAACAUAAUACCAUAAUCAUCAAUUAAUAUCUUAAAUUAUUAUUCUCAAAUUAGUAUCAUCAAUUUUUCAAUUUUGUAUGAAAUAAUAAUAAUAAUAAUUAAACUAAUACUUUCAAAAUUAAUAAACCGGCUAACUGAAUUUUCUAACCAUAAUAAUUAAAUUAAUAAAUCAAAUUUUCAUAAUUAAUCCUUAAUCAACCUCAAUUUAAUUUUUAUUUAUCAAUUUAUCACUAAUUAUCCACAAUUAAUCUCAAAUACAUAACGAUUUCUAAUUACUUAGUAACUAUAAAUAAGUUCGAAUUAAAAAUUUACUAUAACGAUUUCUAAUUACUAAGUAACUGCCCGAAAUAUAAAUAUAAAUACUUAACUAAAUAAGUUCGGGUUAAAAAUUUACUAUACCGAGCUGAAAAAUUAAUACAGAAUAAUGACAAGAACAUCCGAAAAUAAUCAAAAUUUCGGCCGUCGGCAAGCGUCCCGAGGUCGCCGGACCCGGUCGCCAGAAAAUUUUCAACGGUGAUGAAAGUUCGAUCCGAGCACAUCAAAGGAAAGCCCAAAUCUCAGAAUUCCAGAUGUACAAUUAUUUUUACCGAAAAGUGGCCGAAAAAUCCUAUAUCGCCGUUUAAAGUUUUAACACCAGCGAGCUUGAUCAACGGUGAAACGGAGGAGAUCGGGGCUGAGCUUCACUGUCCUAAGGUUUUUCGACAUGAGGAGCUCAUUUUUGGAGUUUGAUCGGCCAAAAGAGGUCGGUAAGAUGUCAAACUAGCAAUGGCAGCGGUGAGAGAUGUUUUCUCUCUCUUCGAAGCACGCUAAACAACAACUCUUGAUAUUGCUCGGCGUCGGCAAGGGGUGAAGCGAGGCAAUGAGGGCCUGAAAUGAGUGUUAUAUGCUAAAGGGGCUGAUUACAGGCGAAGGUGUGAAGAAUUAGGCGGUGGCCAUGGUGUAUGACAAGAGAGAGGGAAUAAGGUAGGAGGAGGGGCCAAGUUGCAAUUUUUCUUUUUCUUUUUUUCCAAAUUUCAGUUUUUG
This 1657-nucleotide long non-coding RNA is filed under the name Ricinus communis (castor bean). RNAcentral describes it as "long non-coding RNA (RCOM_LNC000730)". The record is from RNAcentral. Lineage: Eukaryota; Viridiplantae; Streptophyta; Magnoliopsida; Malpighiales; Euphorbiaceae.